Phrynosoma platyrhinos (Desert horned lizard) is the source of this 73-nucleotide non-coding RNA. Lineage: Eukaryota; Metazoa; Chordata; Lepidosauria; Squamata; Phrynosomatidae. The record is from the annotation of a GenBank genome assembly.
ACCACCAUGGCACAGAGGUUUGAGUGUUGGACUACAACUCUGGAGAUCAGGGUUUGAUUCCCACUUGGCCAUG